UACCAUGAAAUCACAGUGAAUUUGCCUUUUCCUCAGGAAAGGUCUCCACUGAGAUAGAAAAAGCAAAGGAAGUUCUAGCGCCCCCUGCAGGCCCAAAUUGCCAGUGACUGCUGGGACUAACCUCUCAAAUGAUUUCCCUCAAAGAAAAUUCCCUCAUCCUCCCAAUCUGGCGGCAGUUUGGGUCUUCCUUAGACCAAAGGAAGGAAGACUUGAGCUUUGGGUUCUCAGCGUCUCCCAUCCUCUGUUCUACAUCCCCAAAAGAAAAACCAGUCUGAUUUUCCCAGGAACUGGGGACUUCCAUUUUCUGGUCUCAAACUGCACUUCCAAAACAAAGUAAAGCUCAGGAAAUUCUCUUCUUUGAGAAUUAAAAAACUGGCCUAAUGGCAGUCCCUUGGAGUCUCUGUAUCUUGAACAGAAUGGGUGCUCAACAAACACCCAUGAUGGUCCUCUUUGAUCCUUAGGCCAUCACGGCCCGAUUGUUGUUAGGGCCUACAGCGAUCAUCUUUGGUGUUUCUGAUUUUUUCCCCCUUUAAG
This 534-nucleotide long non-coding RNA is filed under the name Bos taurus (domestic cattle). Its description in RNAcentral is "long non-coding RNA NONBTAT026855". The record is from RNAcentral. Lineage: Eukaryota; Metazoa; Chordata; Mammalia; Artiodactyla; Bovidae.